Molecule: long non-coding RNA, 226 nt
Filed under: Brassica napus (rape)
Lineage: Eukaryota; Viridiplantae; Streptophyta; Magnoliopsida; Brassicales; Brassicaceae
Description: long non-coding RNA (BNAP_LNC013984)
Source: RNAcentral
UUGAUAGUGAUCGGGGUUUGAUCUAGGGAAGAAAAAUAAUGUAGGGAACGAUAUAUUUAGAACAUAACGAUGUUAAAUAGUUUCAUGUAAGUGAAAAUGAAUUUUAUUGAUGAAUAAGAUCGAAUACAAUGAAUUGAACUAGAUCGAGUGAUACAAACCAGAUCAGUAAAGAAAGAAUCUAAAAGUGGGAAGACAACAAGAUCGAUGUAAGUGUGUAGCUCUUUCU